This is a long non-coding RNA of Hylaeus volcanicus, 1583 nucleotides long. RefSeq lists it as uncharacterized. The transcript has 3 exons. The record is from RefSeq and is a predicted model, not a curated record. NCBI's taxonomy places the organism in Eukaryota, Metazoa, Arthropoda, Insecta, Hymenoptera, Colletidae.
ACGGUUACUUUUAAUAUUGAUGAAAACUUCUUCGGAUGCUGAGGCUCGAUGACCUCGUUUGAGGAAAACGAUACAAGGUUGGCAAGAAAGUGUAGGGAUUCGUGCAUUUUCUGAGAUUCGAAAGCAUUUGAAUGUUAAAUGAUAGCGUGAAAAAGGAAGGAGAUACGGUCGUUCUUGGUCAGACGUUUUGGUCAGCCUUCACAGGUCCACUUACUCAAGGUGUGAGUGUCGGAUGCGACGAGCCAGCAGGCUGAUGCAAGAAUUGCUUUUCAAUAUUUAACUACCCUGCACAACUAUGGACAGUGUACAUAAAGGGUUAUAGUAUUGUAAUUCACCAUUCUAUCCGGUCGCACGCCAGGCGGUCGGCCUCGUCUGAGACUGGCAUAGGCGUGCAUUAUUUACGACCCUGCACCGAACGUAUAUCGUGACGUAAAAAUUUCCCUCGGAUGAAUUAUGCCGCACGCUCGGUAUGCGAAUUCUUUUUCUAUACAACCAUACUUAGAGAGCUUUCCUGCCGCGAACAUGCUUGAGAAGCUUUUACACUUUUCAAUCAUAACGUAACUUUUGUAACGAGCCUCCGACUCCGUGAGAGCGCGAGUAGCGUGGAUCGUUUUAUCCACUGUUUAUGUUUGUUUUAAUAUAUAGGGGAAACAGUGGAACUAAUAUUUUCGCUGCUACGUAGAGUGGAAGAUCAAACGUGAAUAAUACAACCAAUUGAUUCGUAGUGGCUGUAGCAAUUUUAUUUUUACAUUGCAAAUGGAUCGUAGAGUAUGCAACAGGUCCUUGAUAAACCCUUAUUAAGGGUGACAUAUUUGUCAAGAUAACAGGCUUGGCAAGCUAGGAUUAAUUUUAUUAAGCGAUACCAUCUGCUCCAAGAAAGUGCCACUAAUAUCCAUAAGAAAAUUAAUUACAGGAGAUUUCUCGAUUCGAAACAUUGUUACAGAUAUUACUAUUAAAACAGUGUGUAGGUAUAAUCAAUAAUCAUAUUCAUAUAUUCUAUUCAUUCUGAAGAGAAUAUGUCACAAAGAAAAUUCAAUACUACCUUCAAUACUAAUUUACACAAUACAGACUGAUGUGCAUCCAAAAAUAGUACUCAAAAAAUCAAUAUGCGGGCACGAAGAGGUUAAGCUCCACUACGAAGAGUAAUUUACACGCUCAUUAACGUCACGCAAUAUCAUGAGUAUUAAUAGAAUAGAGACUAGUGAAUGCGAAUGAACUACAACUUACGAAUCGGGGAGACAAUAUAUGGCUGGGGAUCAGUUCCAAGACGUUCUAGUAUUUUACAAAUGUUAUACUGCAUCGUUCGUUACCCCUCUUGACGUAAAAUUCGUUGGAAUGACUAAAAUUUCUCGAAAGUAUAUGCAAAUGACGCCUGGAGACGAGGCGUUUUGCAACAUUUCCGCGAAAAAUACUAGCUGAUCGUUGGAUCGUUAAAGAAGUUUCUCUCGCGGAUCGUGGGCUCUUCGAUACGAUCGGAACAGGCGAUUCCAAUGGCGGCGUGAUUGUCCGCUCGGUUUCGCUGAUUUUAAAGCCGCCUAAGGAAAUCGAGCGGUUCUGGAUCGCGAGAAACGCAGGCCAUGGCU